CCUACGGGAGCCUGCAGUGGGGAAUAUUGGACAAUGGGGGCAACCCUGAUCCAGCCAUGCCGCGUGUGUGAAGAAGGCCCUCGGGUUGUAAAGCACUUUCAGUGAGGAAGAACGCCUGGUGGUUAAUACCCAUCAGGAAAGACAUCACUCACAGAAGAAGCACCGGCUAACUCCGUGCCAGCAGCCGCGGUAAUACGGAGGGUGCGAGCGUUAAUCGGAAUUACUGGGCGUAAAGCGCGCGUAGGUGGCUUGAUAAGCCGGUUGUGAAAGCCCCGGGCUCAACCUGGGAACGGCAUCCGGAACUGUCAAGCUAGAGUGCAGGAGAGGAAGGUAGAAUUCCCGGUGUAGCGGUGAAAUGCGUAGAGAUCGGGAGGAAUACCAGUGGCGAAGGCGGCCUUCUGGACUGACACUGACACUGAGGUGCGAAAGCGUGGGUAGCAAACAGGAUUAGAUACCCUGGUAGUC
Molecule: ribosomal RNA, 465 nt
Filed under: Vreelandella stevensii
Lineage: Bacteria; Pseudomonadati; Pseudomonadota; Gammaproteobacteria; Oceanospirillales; Halomonadaceae
Description: partial 16S ribosomal RNA
Rfam family: Bacterial small subunit ribosomal RNA
Source: RNAcentral